AGAAAGGGAAGGAACUCCCAUGGGCAAACAAGGCCUGGGGACCCUCUCACUUUGUAGCUACGCCCAGGUCCUGCACGGUGUCAUGACCCCAGAAUUAGUGUUUGACAGCUUCUCAGGAACAGCUGCUAUAUCCUACCUGCAGCUUGACGCCUGUUCAGAUGGAAGCAACUCUCUGCAGGCUGCGUCAGGACCUCUUUUCCCAGCUUUACUCCUCCGUCUGGGUUCUUGCACUCACAGGGGAUGGGAGAGGGGUGAGAAAUAGAGCGUUUUUUGAGAACAUAUUCCAACCUCUCGGAUGCACACGUUUUGGAGUCCUGUCCUCAUGUCAAUUGACAGAGAAGGUACUUUAUUAUGGGGUUGGGGGUGGGAAGAGGCCGUUAUGUUUCAAUUCUUUAAAAAGCUUCAUGGCUUAUCUCUCUCCCUGGGCAGCGUCUGGUGUGUGUAGAGACCAAGCUGAAAUCCAGUCCCAGACUGACAUGGUGAUGGGACAUCAAAAUAUCACAUUGAAAGAAAUUAGCUCCUUCUUUGGUGCACUUGUCAGAGUUCUCCAGAGAAACAGAACCAACAGGAUGGAUAGAUGGACAGACAGACAGGCAGGGAGACAGAGAGAUUGAGAGAUUAUUUUAAGGAAUUGACUCAUGCGAUUAUGGGGCUGGCAAGUCCAAAAUCUGCAGGGCAGACCAGCAGGCUGUGUUGCCAUCAUGAGGCAGAAUUUCUUCUUCAUAAACCUGAGUCUUUGUUCUAAGGCUUUCAACUGAUUGAAGAGGCCCACCCACGUCAUGGAGGAUAAGCUGCUUUACGUAACAUCUAGUGAUUGUAAGCAUUAAUCACAUGUAAAAACACUUUCAGAGCAACACCUAGACUAGUGUUUGACUAAACAACUGGUCGCCACAGCCUCGCCAAGCUGGCACACAAUUACCUGCCACGCUAAGUAAGAGCGUUCUCAGCAAUAUUCCCUUCAGAAGCUGUGACUUCGCUUCCUGAGUCAAGGAGAAUGACACUUUGCCAUUUCCGGCAUGCACAGAGGAAAAAACCAGCCCUGACAACCACUAGCCAGCAAAGAGGCAGAAAAGGAGAGAGUCUAGGGUCUCAAGGAAGACCAUACGGGCCAGGCCUGGAAGCGACGUUCAUCACUUCCGCCCCCAUCCCGUGGGCCAUACCUAAGAGCAAUGGAGCUUAGCAGGUCUCCAGAAAAAUGGGGAAUAUGUUCACGGCCAGUGUCUGCUACAGAGAAGCAGGGCAGAAGUUUCCAGCUUCAGAGACUAAUAGGAUGGCGGUUGUGUUAACCAAAAUAAGGCGCGCUGAAGAGAAGCAGACGUGACAGGAAGAUACUGAACUCGGUCUUCACCAUAUAGAGUCUGGAAUCCCUCUGGAACAUCCAGGCAAACAUGUCCUGUGGGCAGCCUGAGGUGAAGGUCUGGGGCUCGGGAAAGGUUGGCAGUGGAGAUAAAGAUUCGGAGAGUCUUAGACCUGUGAGUAUCAUAACAAGAGGGAGAAGAGAGAAGGAGAACGAAUCUUAAAGAGACAAGUGGGGAAAAGGAGCUGCUGAGAGAGUUUUUAAGUUGAGAAGAGAGCAAGGAGGACGGGAGCUCCAACGUGAAGGGAGAGGAGAGUUUCAAAAGAGGGAGCAGUCAGUCACGUCAAACGUUAGAGAAAAAGGAAGAAGACUCAGAAAAUGUUAUUUGCACUUAGUGACAGUUUUCCAUCUUCUACAUUCAAAAAUCCUCUCUCAGAUUGUUCUCCUUUUAGAAAAGGGGAUUGACCGGUUUACAGCAAGAUAUUAAUAUCUGGGUUCAGGAUGGUGGAUUAAGCAAAAGCACUUAUCUUCUUUCUCACCUAAGACACAAUUAAAAUGGCAGCAAAGGAAUAAACGAAAGUGUAUAAACCCACAACGAAGAGAACAGGAGAGUUUUCACAAGGUUUCUAGAAAACAGAGGGGCGAGAAGAGUGUUGACACAAAGCAGAGGAAGCCAAAGCUAAUGACAGCCUGAAUUGAGAGGAGGCUCCCAGGAGAAGCAGCAGGGGGGAUGCGACAACGCGGAACAAGGACCGGGGAGGGAGGGGGAUGAGAACUCGUUUCUCCUGGAGGCUCCGAAUUGUCUCCCUUAAGAAGCGCUGGAACUCUGACCACAGAUCUGAGGAGCAGAAGCGCAAUGCAGCUCUGCUGAGCUCUGCCGGGAGCCCCCCAGUCACGCGCUUAACGAUGGGGACUGAGAAGCACGGCGUUGAGCGAUUUUGUUGUUGUGUGAGCAUCCUAGCACAUGUUUACACCAACCAAGGUGGGAGAGCCUCCUGCACACCCAGGCUGCGCAGUGCUAAUCUGAUGGGACCACCGCCGUGUCCUUAUGUGGCGCAGGACUGUACCGGGCCGGGGUAUCAUAAUACAGAUGCUCUCGGUUGUUUUUCAGCUUCUAAAACCAACCUACAGACGGAUCAUGGAAAACUGAUUAUGGCGACAUGAUAAAAUGUGAUGAUAUCAGUCUUGGCAAGAAAAAAUUGAUGGAGGUGUGCUGUGGGAGAGGGGAGGUGCUAGGUGACCAUAUUGUUGUCCUUCCCAACAGGCUUUGGAGAGGCACAGUCUGUGCUGGCGGGAGGGGUGCUCGGGGGUUGGCGGUUUGGGGUACAGAUGGGACCCGGAGGAGCUGAAAGUGGCGCUGUAGUUGCGUCAGGAGGGAAAGCAGCACCCAGGGCAGUGAGAGGAGGUUCAGUCCUCAUCCAUCAGAACCGGAAGUCAACACGCGGUGCUUCAAGUCGAUAAAUUAAAUACUACAGAUAGAAAAGGAACUGUCGGAAGAACUUAGAGCAGAAGUUGGUAAAAGUGGUUCCCUCUGAGAUGUGGGACCAGGAGACAGGAGGACCGAGGAGAAGGGUGGCUGCUUUUAUGUCUUUUUUGUUAUUUGAUUUUUUUAACCACGUG
Molecule: long non-coding RNA, 2917 nt
Organism: Equus caballus (horse)
Lineage: Eukaryota; Metazoa; Chordata; Mammalia; Perissodactyla; Equidae
Source: Ensembl